UUAUCGUCGGUAGUAGAAGCUCACUGUAGGGCUGGUGGAUAACUCCUGAGGACAUGUUCAAGCUCCUGUUACAAUUCCUAGUUCCAUGGUUAUAACGCAAGUUGCAAAUGGGAGAAAAGAUGUGUCAAGAUAUCAGAUCUAUUGUGGACAAAAAUAAAGUUCCUGCAAGUUUUCACAUUCAUUGGAACGACAAUGAGAUCAUCAAGCGUUUCUCCUGCACUUUCUAAACAACAAUUCAAUACUGGCAACCUCGAAGAAUAAACUGAACAUUUUGAGCAUCUACUGUCUAACAGUUGCUUUACAAUUCAAGAACCGCUGGGCAAUAAAAAAAAAGCAUCUCAGAUAGCUAUGGAGAUACCACCUCAUAAAAGAACAUACCUGGACGUUGUGCAUCACGAACACCAGACACAAUGAUCAGACCCUCCAUCUUUGAGACAAAUGAGAACAACUUCACAGGUUGCAGACACAUCUUCUGACACCACUGCUGUUACCACCAUUUAAUUCCAGAAGAUCAGUGCCACAACUAUUUUAAUUAGAGGCAGACAUUAAAUAUUUGUGGGUUUUUUUCCCCCCUUCUCAGCCUUUUUUUUAACCUUAGUAUCAAGUUAUUAAUGGCUAAAAUAUUAAUGCUCUCCAAUUACAAGCUGGUUAAGUUUCAGUUUGAUGCCUGGUUAGGUGCUGUGGGUUCUUAACCUGAAAUACAGAUACAAAAUGUAAUUGAGUCGCAUUAUUAAUUACUGAAGUAAUAUUGUUUAGCAUAAUUCAUAUUACAAAUUACUUUCUCAAAAGAAGUUACACAGCAUGAAGUCAAAUAUAUUGUAGAAGUCACAACAUUGUCUUGCUGGAUGAGCAACACAACCCUUAACAACACAUGUGGUUUUGAAGAACAAACUAAAAUCCCCGGUGGGAUUGGUAUAUUUCCCACAAACCCAAGCAAACGGAUCUUGUACAAUGCUUCCUUCAAAACAUUCUCCCAUAACCUCCUGUCAGUGGACAUUGCAUCAUGCUUCUUUCAUUAAUCAGGCAGUGGAGUCCCGUGUUGUCUUGUUCUGCUUACAACUGAUAGCUGUAAGCUGUCAGUCCGUAAUUCUCUCCGUUGUCCCAAUCAAAAUGUGAAUGUGAAUCCCAAAUCAAACUCAGAUGGACACAAAGAUACUAACUACUAUGAGCACCAAUAAAAGAUCAUCAUUUCACUGGAUACUGAGUCUGUUUAAGUGCGCUUUAGAAGGCCAACCAAUUACUGAAAGUUCCUCAAAAUGCCAAGGGAAACAGAAACACUAGAAUUCAAGGAACCUGUUUGGUUUAGAGAUGACCAAGUAUUUCAGUGUUGAACUUGGCAGUCUAGAUGGAAGAGGUAAAAGGUACAAUGAGAAGAUUUCUAUCAAGACAUAUUUAAAAAUAAGGUAAUAACUGUGUAAACAGCAUUUGAUCUUUUAAACAAGAACAGAGCUACCAAUGGAGUUUGCAGGCCAUGUGUAGUACGGGAGACUACAAGAAAGAAGAAAAAAGUCCUUGCUGGGAUAAAUUCAAUUUACUGAUCAAUACAAAUUUUUCAACUUUAAGCAUUCCUAAAAGCACAGAAUUACUGUUUCCCCAGGAUCCAUUCUGUCCUACUGUUAAGUUUCCAUUGCUAUGUUUAUUAUAGCCCCAUUCUAAGAUUUGCAAUUAAGAUGUUAAAGUAAGCUGUUACAAUAAUGAGGUAUAGUGAGUUCCAGCAGAAAAUACACAGGCAAUUAUCAAGGCAAAGACUAUGCAGCUU
Numida meleagris (helmeted guineafowl) is the source of this 1759-nucleotide long non-coding RNA. RefSeq lists it as uncharacterized. The transcript has 4 exons. The record is from RefSeq and is a predicted model, not a curated record. Lineage: Eukaryota; Metazoa; Chordata; Aves; Galliformes; Numididae.